RNAcentral lists this ribosomal RNA (454 nucleotides) under uncultured Porphyromonadaceae bacterium. Its description in RNAcentral is "bacterial SSU rRNA". It matches the Rfam family "Bacterial small subunit ribosomal RNA", at positions 341 to 792 of the family's 1533-position model. Lineage: Bacteria; Pseudomonadati; Bacteroidota; Bacteroidia; Bacteroidales; Porphyromonadaceae. The record is from RNAcentral.
ACGGAAGGCAGCAGUGAGGAAUAUUGGUCAAUGGGCGAGAGCCUGAACCAGCCAUGUCGCGUGCAGGAAUACGGCCCUAUGGGUUUUAAACUGCUUUUGCCUGGGGAUAAAGUGGCGGACUUGUCCGUUAUUGCAGGUACCAGGCGAAUAAGGAUCGGCUAACUCCGUGCCAGCAGCCGCGGUAAUACGGAGGAUCCGAGCGUUAUCCGGAUUUAUUGGGUUUAAAGGGUGCGUAGGCGGGCUGUUAAGUCAGCGGUGAAACCCCCGGGCUCAACCCGGGGACUGCCAUUGAAACUGGCGGCCUUGAGUACGUUGGGAGUGCGCGGAAUGUGUGGUGUAGCGGUGAAAUGCAUAGAUAUCACACAGAACACCGAUCGCGUAGGCAGCGCACUACGCCGCAACUGACGCUGAGGCACGAAGGCGCGGGGAUCGAACAGGAUUAGAUACCCUGGUA